This is a non-coding RNA of Phalacrocorax carbo (great cormorant), 5226 nucleotides long. NCBI's taxonomy places the organism in Eukaryota, Metazoa, Chordata, Aves, Suliformes, Phalacrocoracidae. The record is from RefSeq and is a predicted model, not a curated record.
CCCCCUCAGCAAGUGGACUUGGCAAUCCUGGCGAAGUGACCUUUUAGUUUCAAGUCUAGCAAGCAGCCUUCCUUCCCAUCCCACCGGUGGGCUCAGAGAGUCAGCAGGGAGGGGGGGAAAAGAAGAGGGAGAAAGGAAAAUCGUGGAAGUGGUAGAGCCACGGGAGUAGAAAGCGCGGGUUGGAUGAUGAUGAUUAUUUUUUUAAACUAGGUGUGUGCCGGGAGAGGUUGAAAUGGGGGGGGGGGGAUUUAUUCCAGGAGGCUUCCGAAGCCUUUGAGCCAAGCAGGAUUUCUCUGCGAUGAGCUGGAGCUGCGACGCGGCCGCCUCUAAUCCCCGGGUCCGUCGCGCAGGUUAGUGGGUUUGGUCAAAUAGAUAAAUAAAUAAGUUAUGCUAAUGAUGAAGAGUCGGAUCAAUGAUUAAAAAAGAAGUAGUCAAAACUCCCAGCAGAGAAACGGGCGGGUGGAGAAGGGGGAGAGGAGCAACGCGGCUUCGCCUCCAUCUCUGUUUUAAAGGAGAGCUUGAGGUUUCUUAGAAGAUGGAGUAUGAAAUUAUAAUGAAAAAAUAAAGAAGCGGGAAGGUAAGCACGUCUGCUCGCCCUCCAGAGAGCCGGUUUGCUACCCAGACGUCUGCAGCUGACAAGGAGGAUAAGGGCUGUCAUUGCAAAGAAGAAAAGGAUCCAAACCCCAGCAGCACCGGCGGGUUUCCGAUGGCUGGAGGCACCGAUUCCAAAACGGCUCGGGCUCGGAGCGUGGAGAAAAGGGGAAAUUUGGUUCUUCGUUAGAAUCUAUUUAUCCAAUUUCUUCACUUGUAAAACACCUUCCCUUCUGGAAGUGAGCCUACGGGGACGGGGUGUUCUCGGAAACCAAUUAGAGCUUCCACCGCCAAAAAUCUGUUUGUCGGAAAAGCAUGAAGGAAAAGGAGCCACUGGGAAGAGGGCAGGGGAUGUCACCAGCUCUUGGAUCAACCCUCGGCCCUAUCGAGUGGCUUUUUUUUAGUGGAAGUACUUGAAAGAUGACAAAUCUCGGCAGGGAGAGCUGGAGAGGGCUCCAGGCGUUAUCGCCACCCAAGGGAAGCUGCUGGAGGGUCCGGAAUAAAUCCACGCCGUUAACGCGGGUAGGGUGGGGGCUUUUGCUCUCUUUUACUCCGGGCCUAAUACUGACAAUCACUCCUUGACUUGAUUUCAGCCGGAAACUCUGUCCCCUCCCCACCCCAACGAGCUUUACUCAAUUUACUUCGCUUUCGGGUUUUCAUGCUGAAUCCCCGCUGCUGCGAUCGUGCAGGCCCUCGGGGCAGCAGGUCCCGAGGGUGGGGGACACGAGGUGAAUUUUGCCGCAUUCUGCAAAUCACAUGAGAAACAACCCCAAAACCCCUGCCUCCCCGAGUUUGCUGCCGGCAGGUAUUAAUGUGCUGGAGGCAACCGGCCCCGGUCCCAGUCCAGUCCGAUGGAGCCCAGGGCACCCCCAGUAACAGCUCUUGUGCCCCCAGUUCAUAAAGAAACCUUCCUUGUAAAAGUCACUUUACAUCUCCUGAACCUGAAAACUACCAGGUAACAACUUUUUAUGACCCAACUCCCAGGACACGGUUUCAUUUUAUUCCUUAACUCAGACCUCCGUCCCUUUCCCUCCUGGUUGCAUUUCCCAGCAAGAGACCCCCUGGGUUUAGCAUGAAUUUAAACACUCAAACCUUGCAACGAGAGCUGAUUCACGACCGGGCCUUAAACCGCAGGAUUUUCGGACUGUCUGGAGUUGAAUUCUGAUUCCAGCCGGGGGGGGUUUCAGCUUUUUAAAAGUCCCUGGAUCACCAUGGUGGCAGGGAGAGCCCCUCUGCCAGCAGCAGCUCCGGUCUCUGCGGAAGGGGCUGGGGCUGGUUCGUCCCGAGGGUUUCUCAGCCCUGGGACAUCCCAAAGGCCACUUGUAGGCCCAGCUGUCCAUGCAGAAAAUCCCAACCCAAUCCCAGCCUGAAGCAGCUGGAGAAGCUCCUCAGAUAUGUAGCUUUGCUAUUCUUGCUGGUUUUCCUUCUAAUUACUCGUGCAUUUUGGAGUUUGAAGCAGGAGCUUGGCAGGGAGAGAAAGAGGUGAAAGAAGGGGAAAACGGCACUGGAAAUCCAGGCAGGGAAAAAGCACAAGAGCAAAUCCAUGGCUUAACUCCCUUGCAAGUAGAUGAAUGUGAGUCUUCCUCUCCCCCUUGCCCCCCCGGCCCUUGUCCGGGGACCUUCGCCUCUCAGGUUUAUGGUUCUCCUCUGCGUAGUGUCAGCGUUUCAUGCCCUUGAUGACACAUGCCCUUCUCCAGUCCCUCUGAAGGUUUGGAUCCCAAAUAAAGCAAAAAAAAAAAAAAAGACUUCUCCAACCCUUGCGUUUUUUCCUAAUGCUUGGGAGGUGGUGAGGGUCUGCUCACUAGUCCAUCAGUUAUUCUUUAGAUAAAGAAAUAAAAUAAAAUUAAAAGGCCCCCAAAAGAGGUGAGUCACAACAAGAAAACAGGACCCAGGGCCCCGGCAGCAGAACUUGCUGUGUCUCGCCUCCGACAGAGCAAAGGCAAGCUGUGGCACCAUCCUGAAACUAUUUAGCUCACAUCCAUGGGAGAUGGGGGCCUUUUAAGGUCUCUUCUCCCUACCCCACCCCCAGAGCCACUACCCCUCAUAUAUUAUUUUUACUAAUGUGGUGGGGUUUUCUUUUUUUUUUUUUUCCUUCUUGGAGGAGGAGGGAUUUGUGUAGCCAGAUACGAGGAAUUUGGAGAGAGAGGAGAGAGAUAUCCCCCUGUUGACUAGAGAGAUGUUGUUCUUGGGAUUAGGGAUGUCUGACCUUGAAGGUCACAGGUCAUGGUCUUGAAUAAGGAGCAGGAGUAUGAGGUUGGGAUUGAAACUUGAGGUGUGUCUGCUGGAGAUCACAGGCAAAAGUCUUCCAAACAAAGAAGAAUGCCUCAGUCAGGGCAAGAAAGGACAACUUCCCCAAGAGUUAUGGGCUCCUUCCGGAUGGUUGCAUACCUGCAGACCCCCCAAAGGAUGCUCUGUGGCUGAGGGAGGGGAGAAAGGAGGGGAGAAAGGAGGGGCAGGAUGGCUGGAGCCAGAAGGCCCCAUUAUUUAUUACUAUUUGCAUUGUGGGCAGGGCCAGAGGCCCUGAUGCUGGCGGUUUUAUGGAGGUCGGUGCUGUGGAGAGCGAUAAAAAGAGCAUCGCACUGUUGGGCCAGGUCUGGCUACCCAGAAGCAUCUUUGCAGAAGGGAAGAAAGGAAGAGAUUCCCCCGAGGGCAGGGAAGUAAUGCAGAGGCACAGCAAGAGCCCAAGUCUCAAAUCUGUGUCCGACACAACAACUAUGAAGGUUUUCGCUCUGUGAGCUCCUGCCGAGCUCUGGGGAGUUGCUCACAGCUGUAUGCCUCAGUUUCCCCACAGGAAUACCAAUCAGAGAAGCAAAGAGCACUUCAAGCCUGUUUCAGGGCAGCAAGGCUAGAAUAGACUAUGGAAACCUUAUUUCUCUGCUGGGCUCUCCAUCCAAACAAGGAAAGUAACAUAUUUAGUGGUCCAGAGCCAUCUGGUUCACACCCAUGGACCCUGCAGAUGGAGGUUCGUGCAUGUCUGCUUCUGGGCACCUGUGCGUGGGCUGUGCCCCUCCUCUGUCCAGGGGAUGAGGUUAUGUGGGUGUUGUGAGCAGGAUCAUGGCAUGAUGGUGCUGACAUCCCCUGCUGAAGGCCUGUGCCUCCCUCCGAAACCAGCCAGCACCAUGCACCACUGGCGGCAGACCCCUUUGGCUGUUCAACAUGGCGUUAAAGUCCAUGUUCAAAUGUAUGCAGGUCAGUCCCCUGGGCCAAGCAGAACGAAGUGCACAGGAAAGUGUUUGAAGACCCAGGACCUCCAACAGAACCUCAGCCUGCCUCCCUGAAGCCCCAACGUUUGAACAGGCUCAGCUCCAGACCCCCUGCCACUGUCAAUACUGUCUAAACGACCUCAAGGAGGAAAAGCCCUGACUCUAUGUCAGCAUUUUUUGAGGAGAGCAAUGACGACCUCAUUGUAACACCUGUGCAAACCACGCACGGAAAGAUGUGCAGUAAAACUCCACAGGCCGGUCUUGCUGCAGUGCUUCAGCCCACCUUUUCCUUCCCAUUUUUGGGCCUGGUGGUCGGGAAGGGAGGAGAGAGAGUCGGGGCGAGAGCAGCCCCCGGCCCCGGGAGCGGCCCCGAGCGACGCUAGAGGGAGCCCCGGGCUCAAUUAAUUAACGACCGAGAAUUAACCAAGUGAGAAAAACACUGGAGCUGGGAGAGAAAGUGAGAAUUAAUGUACCUGUGCUAUUACUGGCAUUUCCGGCUGUAUUUAUGCCUAUAUGUAUCUAUAUAUGAGAUGUGCAUAGCAGUGAGAUGACACCAACCUAAAACGCAGGAAAGGAAACAGCUCUGUGUGUUUGUGAUCUGAUUCGGGGCAAUUUGGGCUCUAAUUGAUAUAAACGUUGUCAAAAUUACUUUCCCCUCUGCCUAGGUAUUUAUUCUUCACUUUGAAGUAUUUAAGAGAAAGCAGAAGGCAUCAAUCUGUCUCAAAAAAUGCCUUUUUUAUGCUGCUAUUGAUUUUUGAAGUGCCUCUGGAAGAAGGGGAAAUGUAAGGAAUAAACGUUAAGGCAUUUAAUGUUUCCCAGCCUGGCCCAGCCGUAAGCUCAUACCCAGGGAGGCCAGAGCAGAGCUGCUCUAGGGAGGUCCCCAGGGCUGAUCCAGAGCCUGCCGAACGCUGUGGGACCACAGUCAAGAGGCCACAGAAGAGGGUCUCAGAGGCCAGGGGCACUCUUGGGUACCAGCCAAGUGGCUGCAGCAGGGUUCCCUCAUUUUUGGGGUGCUUGUAGGGUGCUGCCUGCUUGCAGAAUGGCCUGCAGACCCAUCCCAAGCACCAAGGCUCAGUUUCCCCCACACUUUCCUCCCUCUACAGCCUUUCCUGCAUGAUGCAGAGCUCUGCUGCAGUUCCAAAGCCUCCUGAAGGCAAUGAGGGGUUCUCAGGGGUUGUAGCAGACUUAAGCAGAGCUCCUGUGGGUCGCAAAAGGGAAAAGCAUCCCCAAAACAGGCAUGGUGGAUGGGCUGGAGCUCUAUGGUGGAUGACCUCAAGCUUGAGCGUGAGCAAAAAGGAACCAAAAGGGACCUCGGCACAAAAGAGGUCAUAAAAGCUGCUGUUGGGCUUAUUUAUCAUCAUUUUAAUCUUCUUAGCAUCCCAUUCAGUGGCUCUUUGGAGAAUAAAACAGUGAUAUUGUUUAUUUACCUUGA